Molecule: long non-coding RNA, 846 nt
Filed under: Monodelphis domestica (gray short-tailed opossum)
Lineage: Eukaryota; Metazoa; Chordata; Mammalia; Didelphimorphia; Didelphidae
Description: lncRNA (ENSMODG00000033153.2)
Source: RNAcentral
CCCUAUUCUUGAGGAAGCCAAGCUAGCUCUUAGUGAUCAUCACUUCCUCUUCUAAAUGCUGUUUCUUUAGUAAUAUUAUAAUAGAGAAGCAUCUGAAGGAGAAGAACUGCAUCUUCUAGGAGACUCUAGUUUCAAGGUUAGAUCUGAACUUCAUUUCCCAUGGAAUUGGGUGUUUCACGGAAAUUGCUUCAAGAGAGACACAUUUAGAGGAGGGAGGAAGGGAGAGUAGGUCCAUGGAGAGAAUGAUUAUGGCAGAACCUGGGACAGAAAGGGACAUCACCACAGCUUCUGAGAAAGCCGAAAGAAAGACACAAAGGAUCUCGUGCUGUGAUUAGUCUGGGGAAAGACUGGUGAACAUGCUGAGCAGAAAUAUAGAGAAGCUACUGUAUCCUGGCAGUUGGUGGAAGCAGUCAUCAAGCAAUCCAGAAGAAGAAAGAGGAAGCAAAGCAGAGAACAGAGAACCGGAAAAAAAGGAGUAUCUAGAAGACUUCACUAUCUACAAAGAAUUCCUAUUUGACCUGGAAUUUGGCCUGGAUCUCCUCCAUCACGGUGGCAAAACCUUUUGCCAGAAGAGCAAGACUGAUGAAAUUCACUUAUGAAUAUGUACACAACAAGGUAAACUUAAAGUAAAUCAAAACAAUUUCAGAAGGGAGAGCGAGCAAGUUGGGGUGAAGUGAGUUAGAUCAGACAGGGUAGUUUAUGAGCUGCACUUUGAAGAUAGCUGGGGAUUUUAAGAGGAUAGAGAGAACAUUCCAGACUCAGGACAUAGAAUAUCUUAUAAGGAAAUAGCCAUUGACUGAAAUGGAGCGUGUGUGAAGGGAAAGAAUAAAUAAGUCUGGAAUGGCA